RNAcentral lists this microRNA precursor (58 nucleotides) under Capitella teleta. Its description in RNAcentral is "Cte-Mir-2699_pre stem-loop". Lineage: Eukaryota; Metazoa; Annelida; Polychaeta; Capitellidae. The record is from RNAcentral.
AACGGCCGCAUAUUAUAAAUCACUUAUUUGAAUGUGGUUUGUGAUAUUCGGCCUAAGA